RNAcentral lists this long non-coding RNA (340 nucleotides) under Drosophila guanche. Lineage: Eukaryota; Metazoa; Arthropoda; Insecta; Diptera; Drosophilidae. The record is from RNAcentral.
UAUAUAUCCAUAUUUUCAUAUUUGUACUUUUUACUAAAUAAUAAUAAAAAAUGCCGUAUUUGCACUUGCGUGAACUUGGAGUUAAUAUAUUUCUAAGUUUUCAUUGCUUUCGAACUUUUGUUUCGCGAACUACUUAAAUUAUUCUGAAAUUCUGACUUUCAGUUAAGUUUUCCUUAAAAUUGAUCAGUCACCAUUUUCUCGGACUCGGGAUGCCUCGAACGGAAAUUCCGACGGCGCGUUUAACUGCGGUGCAUUUACGGCAAUUGCUCACAUUAUACGAAUUUUUCUGUUGGGAGAUUUUCCAAUUAGAGUCUGCGCCUGCGCGUGUGGUUCGUUUCGA